CCUACGGGUGGCUGCAGUGAGGAAUAUUGGUCAAUGGGCUUACGCCUGAACCAGCCAAGUCGCGUGAGGGAAGACUGCCCUAUGGGUUGUAAACCUCUUUUGUCAGGGAGCAAUUGGCGCUACGUGUAGUGUUAUCGAGAGUACCUGAAGAAAAAGCAUCGCCUAACUCCGUCCCAGCAGCCGCGGUAAUACGGAGGUUGCGAGCGUUAUCCGGAUUUAUUGGGUUUAAAGGGUGCGUAGGCGGAAUGCCAAGUCAGCGGUAAAAUCGCGGGGCUCAACCGCGCUCCGCCGUUGAAACUGGCGUUCUGGAGUGGGCGAGAAGUAUGCGGAAUGCGUGGUGUAGCGGUGAAAUGCAUAGAUAUCACGCAGAACUCCGAUUGCGAAGGCAGCAUACCGGCGCCCAACUGACGCUGAAGCACGAAAGCGUGGGUAUCGAACAGGAUUAGAUACCCGGGUAGUC
RNAcentral lists this ribosomal RNA (460 nucleotides) under uncultured bacterium. RNAcentral describes it as "partial 16S ribosomal RNA". It matches the Rfam family "Bacterial small subunit ribosomal RNA", at positions 338 to 795 of the family's 1533-position model. The record is from RNAcentral.